CCUACGGGAGGCAGCAGUGGGGAAUAUUGCACAAUGGGGGAAACCCUGAUGCAGCGACGCCGCGUGAGUGAAGAAGUAAUUCGGUAUGUAAAGCUCUAUCAGCAGGGAAGAAAAUGACGGUACCUGAGUAAGAAGCCCCGGCUAACUACGUGCCAGCAGCCGCGGUAAUACGUAGGGGGCAAGCGUUAUCCGGAUUUACUGGGUGUAAAGGGAGCGUAGACGGCAGUGCAAGUCUGGAGUGAAAGGCGGGGGCUCAACCCCCGGACUGCUCUGGAAACUGUACGGCUGGAGUGCAGGAGAGGUAAGUGGAAUUCCUGGUGUAGCGGUGAAAUGCGUAGAUAUUAGGAGGAAUACCAGUGGCGAAGGCGGCUUACUGGACUGUAACUGACGUUGAGGCUCGAAAGCGUGGGGAGCAAACAGGAUUAGAUACCCGUGUAGUC
This 440-nucleotide ribosomal RNA is filed under the name uncultured bacterium. RNAcentral describes it as "partial 16S ribosomal RNA". It matches the Rfam family "Bacterial small subunit ribosomal RNA", at positions 338 to 795 of the family's 1533-position model. The record is from RNAcentral.